UAGGGAAUCUUCGGCAAUGGACGAAAGUCUGACCGAGCAACGCCGCGUGAGUGAAGAAGGUUUUCGGAUCGUAAAACUCUGUUGGUAGAGAAGAACGUUGGUGAGAGUGGAAAGCUCAUCAAGUGACGGUAACUACCCAGAAAGGGACGGCUAACUACGUGCC
Molecule: ribosomal RNA, 163 nt
Filed under: uncultured bacterium
Lineage: Bacteria
Description: partial 16S ribosomal RNA
Rfam family: Bacterial small subunit ribosomal RNA
Source: RNAcentral